This 751-nucleotide ribosomal RNA is filed under the name Probaryconus rufipes. RNAcentral's name for it is "partial 28S ribosomal RNA". It matches the Rfam family "Eukaryotic large subunit ribosomal RNA", at positions 533 to 911 of the family's 3401-position model. Lineage: Eukaryota; Metazoa; Arthropoda; Insecta; Hymenoptera; Scelionidae. The record is from RNAcentral.
AUCGAAUGAGGCGAUUCAGCGUCAGCGCGCGGGACUUGCGUGUGGUUCGUGAUGUUCGUAUUAGGUCUUUGACCGUUACGGCACGCGGCCGCUGCGUCAUGUUCUUGUGCGUCGGCGUGCACUUCGCCUCUAGUAGAACGUCGCGACCCGCUGGGUGUCGAUUUAAGGGCCGAGGUCGUUGACUGACUCCACGUUUUGGCGUGCGAGUCAGACGCUCGGUUUUCCCAAUCGACUGCCCGGCGGUAUAAGCUAUGGUAUUGAGUCGCAAUUUUAUUGUGCGUUCAGGCCCGUUGCAAGCCGAUUCACGCUCUCGGAGUGCGGACCUAGUGCCGUACCCGUGGCGUAUCAGCUGUUGGUCGACGGUGUUCUCGAACAGGCUCAAAAUUUGAACGUUAAUUGAAAAUACCUAUCUGCGACGCUAUUGCUUUGGGUACUUUCAGGACCCGUCUUGAAACACGGACCAAGGAGUCUAACAUGUGCGCGAGUCAUUGGGAACAAUAAAACCUAAAGGCGCAUUGAAAGAAAAAUUCGUUCGACUCUCGAGUCGUUCGAAUAAGGGAGGAUGGGUUGCGUCAAGAUGCAACCUCGCACUCCCGGGGCGUCUCUUAUGCUUUUUAAGCGUCAAGAGGCGCACCAAGAGCGUACACGUUGGGACCCGAAAGAUGGUGAACUAUGCCUGGUCAGGACGAAGUCAGGGGAAACCCUGAUGGAGGUCCGUAGCGAUUCUGACGUGCAAAUCGAUCGUCGGAAC